Oncorhynchus mykiss (rainbow trout) is the source of this 913-nucleotide non-coding RNA. The record is from RefSeq and is a predicted model, not a curated record. NCBI's taxonomy places the organism in Eukaryota, Metazoa, Chordata, Actinopteri, Salmoniformes, Salmonidae.
CUGUGCGGGUUUUCCUUUUGUGGGUAGGAAUUUGAGCAGAAAUAUCCACAGGAAAGUAAUAAAGUAUUAUUAAACUGACUUUCCAAACACUGGUACCUCCAUUGAUAUUUAUAUCCCCUGGCACAUGCGCAAAACAAUGUAAACAAACGUCUACAGGAGGCCUCUAGGCAAGUAUGCAUGCAUUGCCUGCGCAUGCUGCAGGUGAUCUGAACGCACUACCAGGCUUUUAAAAGUUAGUUGAAUUAUACUUUCAUGUGAAUAUUGUCUCAAAUUCCGAACUAUACAAGAACCAACCCGACAGACAAUCAGCAGAGGGUCAAAGACAGGAAGUAGAGAGAGGGAGAGAGUGGGCAGGGAGAGGACGAACAGGUCAUCAGGGGCCAGAGACACGCAGCAGAGAGAGGUAGAGGGAGAACACAACCCAUGUUGAAGCAAGGAGAGGACGAACAGGACAUCAGAAAGGAGCUUUAGUGCCCUCAGGAGGUUGAAGACGUGGCUGCGCUCAACAAUGACAAAGCAGACCAUGUUGCUUUCUGUCAUAUUCACCAGGAGAAGCUGGAUAGCAUAGAUAUGAAAACAAUAUGCCAGAAUGUUAUUGCUGCCAGUGACAGGCGUAAAAUGGUAUUGUUGCAUUUAAGUUAAUUGAGACUGAAGAUCUGACCCCUCUAUGUACCAUGUAUAAGGUUGCAACCGGUUAUUGACUGUUAUUGAAUGUGUAUGUUUUUUCACUUGAUGGUGAAUGACAAUGAGCUGUUGCUAUGUCUUUUUUACAUCUAUUUCUUGAGCUUGAUGCCAUAUUGAUUAGUUUAUUUUGAAGUCUAUUUUCCUAUAGCAUUUUAUUCCAUAUUGAAUAAUUAUAUUUUGAAUGGCACUGAAUUAUUUUAUGAAUUAAAUACUACAAUUAAAUUGUGUA